This 253-nucleotide ribosomal RNA is filed under the name uncultured bacterium. RNAcentral's name for it is "partial 16S ribosomal RNA". It matches the Rfam family "Bacterial small subunit ribosomal RNA", at positions 524 to 776 of the family's 1533-position model. The record is from RNAcentral.
UACGUAGGCAGCGAGCGUUGUUCGGAGUUACUGGGCGUAAAGAGUGCGUAGGCGGUUUUCUAAGUUUGGUGUGAAAUCUCCCGGCUCAACUGGGAGGGUGCGCUGAAAACUGGGGUGCUCGAGGGUGGGAGAGGUAAGCGGAAUUCCUGGUGUAGCGGUGAAAUGCGCAGAUAUCAGGAGGAACGCCGGUGGCGAAGGCGGGUCUCUGGGCCGAUACUGACGCUGAGGCACGAAAGCGUGGGGAGCAAACAGG